This 198-nucleotide long non-coding RNA is filed under the name Octodon degus (degu). RNAcentral's name for it is "ZNFX1 antisense RNA 1 conserved region 1 (ENSODEG00000021624.1)". It matches the Rfam family "ZNFX1 antisense RNA 1 conserved region 1". Lineage: Eukaryota; Metazoa; Chordata; Mammalia; Rodentia; Octodontidae. The record is from RNAcentral.
GCCGAGGAGACCGUGUGGCCCAGUGUGUACGGGGGAGGAGGGCGGGGCCGGGCUCGGCUCCGGCAACCAUUGGAGCGCCUCGAGCUGGGUGGACCGGAAACUACAUUUCCCAGGAAUCAUAGCGGGUAAGGGCCGGAAAGGGCGGCCCGAGACCCAGUGCGCACGCGCACCAGCAGCCUGUGCCUAUAUAAGGAAGGU